GACGAACGCUGGCGGCGUGCUUAACACAUGCAAGUCGAACGGUGAAGCGCCUUCCUUUUUGGUGGGUGUGGAUGAGUGGCGAACGGGUGAGUAACACGUGAGUAACCUGCCCCCUUCUUCUGGAUAACGGCAUGAAAGUGUGGCUAAUACGGGAUAUUCUGGGUCUGUCGCAUGAUGGGUUUGGGAAAGCUAUUGUUUCGGUGGGGGAUGGGCUCGCGGCCUAUCAGCUUGGUGGUGGGGUGAUGGCCUACCAAGGCGGUGACGAGUGGCCGGCCUGAGAGGGUGGGCGGUCACAGUAGGACGGCGCGACGGCGCAGACUACUAGAGGAGGCAGCAGUGGGGAUUAUUGCACAAUGGGCGCAAGCCUGAUGCAGCGCCGCCGCGGGGAGGAUGGAGUCCUUCGUGUUGAGAACCUCUUUCGCGAGUGAAGCAGGCCUGCCUCGUUUGUGGGUGGGUUGACGGUAGCUGGAUAAGAAGCGCCGGCUAACUACGUG
RNAcentral lists this ribosomal RNA (494 nucleotides) under uncultured bacterium. Its description in RNAcentral is "partial 16S ribosomal RNA". It matches the Rfam family "Bacterial small subunit ribosomal RNA", at positions 28 to 507 of the family's 1533-position model. The record is from RNAcentral.